UUUCCUGUCUGACAGCAUGGUAAUAUUCUUUCACUUUCAAAAAAGGUCAAACCAGCUUUUUUGUCUGAAAUCUUUAACAGGAAUCUCCAGUCACUCUGCAAGCUGGUGCCUCCCCCAUGCAUUGCAAUAGGCUAUUAACUCCAGAAACUGUGGUAGACAUCUUAAUUUCAGUAUCGUUUCAGCUGCUGCACAGGUCAUUUUACCACAUUCCUGCUACAGGCUGUUUGAACCAGAACUCACUCCUGGGUUAAUUACUGAAGGAGAAGAAUCGGAUGAAAAUGCCUCUGCUCUGUGACCAUGCCAGGUGACAGAGGGCAAGAAUCUUCCUGCAGAUCCAGCUGGCACGUGGAGGAGAGCUGGGGUGGGAUUCUAGGCUGUAUCCAAUGUAGAAGUUUGCCCCCUUUAUGUCCAUAAUUAUCACCAGGUAUCACUGAACUGGCCAGCACAUGAAAAACUCAUACCAGGGCAUGGCAUAAACUGUCUUUUGCCACGCAGGUGUUUGGGGAGAAUGGGACUUUGGUGGAAUGGAGGAUGGGUGUGCCACACUGAGAAACAGACAUAAAAGGAGGGACUAUUCAGCAUAGAUUGUGCUGGAAGGGAGGGAGGGGCAAGCCCCUGCUCUUGGGGGCACAUCAGGUAGUAGGGAGCAAGGCUGUGGGAAAUCACACUGGCAAAACUAUUCAUUUUAGUAUAUUUGAACUUUAACCAACUACUGACCUUGAAAAGUAGGAACAAGACUUUUGAAGUAGUUAUUGAAAAGAUGCAAGAGGCAGUAGAGAUUUCCUAAGGAGGAAGCAGUGGUGAAGGCUCAUAAACUUGGAAGUUCUUAAAGCUUUUCUACCAUCAGACUAAAACCUGUGAAUAACUCCCAGACUGAGGAACACCACAAAAGAGGAAGCAGUGAAACAGAAUAAGAAAGCACUUCUGCUCUGUGGCCUCAGGAUUGGAAAGCCAUGCUCCUCUAGGGCAGGACUCAAAAAGGAUAUGCAAAACCUAAAAAAAAGAGACAGAACAGCACUGGAGAACAAAAAGGAAAAUAAAUUUUGGCUAUGGAAUGAGCCAUUGUUUGAGGUGGAACCAGCUCCACAGCUGGGCAGCUGAAGGACUAGAUACAAUACAUUGAUUUUCAGUUAUGAAAAUGUCUCACAGAGCUCUUUUAUAUGACAUUGGAUACAUGUACCUAAAGGAGAAUUGCCAAUAACAGCUAAAUGGAAAAGAGGAAGAUUCUUUAUAAGAAAACAGAUAUAAUAAAGAUUAUGAAGAUGUAUCUUACUAAGAAACCAUUAUUGUAGGGAGGCUCUAAGUGAGAUAAAUAGUAAGACAGCUUGUUCGUUAUAGCACACUGUGCAUUAUAUAUCAUAAUAACUGCACUGUACUGAUAUUCCAGCACUUCCAAGAAGCUUUACAUUGGUGUUUCUCUUAUUUUCUCAGUAGGCUCCUGAUUCAGGGGCAAGAUCAUCCUGUGCUACUAGAGAUUUGAGCACACGAUUCUGACAUGAUUUGGCUAGUUAAAGUGCUGUAGAAUGUCU
This is a long non-coding RNA of Passer domesticus (house sparrow), 1529 nucleotides long. RefSeq lists it as uncharacterized. The transcript has 3 exons. Lineage: Eukaryota; Metazoa; Chordata; Aves; Passeriformes; Passeridae. The record is from RefSeq and is a predicted model, not a curated record.